GACAGAGGGUGCAAACGUUGUUCGGAAUUACUGGGCGUAAAGCGCGUGUAGGCGGCCCUGCAAGUCGGGUGUGAAAUCCCACGGCUCAACCGUGGAAGUGCACUCGAAACUGCAGGGCUAGAGUCCUGGAGAGGAAGGUGGAAUGCUUGGUGGUAGAGGUGAAAUUCGUAGAUAUCAAGCGGAACACCGGUGGCGAAGGCGGGUCUCUGGGCCGAUACUGACGCUGAGGAGCGAAAGCGUGGGGAGCGAACAGG
Molecule: ribosomal RNA, 254 nt
Filed under: uncultured bacterium
Lineage: Bacteria
Description: partial 16S ribosomal RNA
Rfam family: Bacterial small subunit ribosomal RNA
Source: RNAcentral